This 340-nucleotide unclassified non-coding RNA is filed under the name soil metagenome. RNAcentral describes it as "partial contains 5.8S ribosomal RNA, internal transcribed spacer 2, and large subunit ribosomal RNA". The stretch from base 1 to 120 matches the Rfam family "5.8S ribosomal RNA", at positions 35 to 154 of the family's 154-position model. The record is from RNAcentral.
GAUGAAGAACGUAGCGAAAUGCGAUAAGUAAUGUGAAUUGCAGAAUUCAGUGAAUCAUCGAAUCUUUGAACGCACAUUGCGCCCUUUGGUAUUCCAAAGGGCAUGCCUGUUCGAGCGUCAUUUGUACCCUCAAGCUUUGCUUGGUGUUGGGCGUCUUGUCUCUAGCUUUGCUGGAGACUCGCCUUAAAGUAAUUGGCAGCCGGCCUACUGGUUUCGGAGCGCAGCACAAGUCGCACUCUCUAUCAGCAAAGGUCUAGCAUCCAUUAAGCCUUUUUUCAACUUUUGACCUCGGAUCAGGUAGGGAUACCCGCUGAACUUAAGCAUAUCAAUAAGCGGAGGA